RNAcentral lists this non-coding RNA (31 nucleotides) under Mus musculus (house mouse). The record is from RNAcentral. Lineage: Eukaryota; Metazoa; Chordata; Mammalia; Rodentia; Muridae.
UUGGCUAUUUAAAGAAACAGGAAAGUUUGUC